This 425-nucleotide ribosomal RNA is filed under the name uncultured bacterium. RNAcentral describes it as "partial 16S ribosomal RNA". It matches the Rfam family "Bacterial small subunit ribosomal RNA", at positions 354 to 796 of the family's 1533-position model. The record is from RNAcentral.
GUGGGGAAUCUUGCGCAAUGGGCGAAAGCCUGACGCAGCCAUGCCGCGUGAAUGAUGAAGGUCUUAGGAUUGUAAAAUUCUUUCACCGGGGACGAUAAUGACGGUACCCGGAGAAGAAGCCCCGGCUAACUUCGUGCCAGCAGCCGCGGUAAUACGAAGGGGGCUAGCGUUGCUCGGAAUUACUGGGCGUAAAGGGCGCGUAGGCGGACAGUUUAGUAAGAGGUGAAAGCCCAGGGCUCAACCUUGGAAUUGCCUUUGAUACUGGCUGUCUUGAGUACGGGAGAGGUGAGUGGAACUCCGAGUGUAGAGGUGAAAUUCGUAGAUAUUCGGAAGAACACCAGUGGCGAAGGCGACUCACUGGCCCGUUACUGACGCUGAGGCGCGAAAGCGUGGGGAGCAAACAGGAUUAGAUACCCUUGUAGUCC